GCACUGCUAAGGAGUCCAAUACUAAGACGAAACGGCCGUCCAGUGC
This is a non-coding RNA of Schistosoma curassoni, 46 nucleotides long. Lineage: Eukaryota; Metazoa; Platyhelminthes; Trematoda; Strigeidida; Schistosomatidae. The record is from Rfam.